GAUGAACGCUAGCGACAGGCUUAACACAUGCAAGUCGAGGGGCAGCGGGGGUAGCAAUACCCGCCGGCGACCGGCGCACGGGUGAGUAACGCGUAUGCAACUUACCUAUCAGAGGGGGAUAACCCGGCGAAAGUCGGACUAAUACCGCAUGAAGCAGGGGCCCCGCAUGGGGAUAUUUGCUAAAGAUUCAUCGCUGAUAGAUAGGCAUGCGUUCCAUUAGGCAGUUGGCGGGGUAACGGCCCACCAAACCGACGAUGGAUAGGGGUUCUGAGAGGAAGGUCCCCCACAUUGGUACUGAGACACGGACCAAACUCCUACGGGAGGCAGCAGUGAGGAAUAUUGGUCAAUGGCCGAGAGGCUGAACCAGCCAAGUCGCGUGAGGGAUGAAGGUUCUAUGGAUCGUAAACCUCUUUUAUAAGGGAAUAAAGUGCGGGACGUGUCCCGUUUUGUAUGUACCUUAUGAAUAAGGAUCGGCUAACUCCGUGCCAGCAGCCGCGGUAAUACGGAGGAUCCGAGCGUUAUCCGGAUUUAUUGGGUUUAAAGGGUGCGUAGGCGGCCUUUUAAGUCAGCGGUGAAAGUCUGUGGCUCAACCAUAGAAUUGCCGUUGAAACUGGGGGGCUUGAGUAUGUUUGAGGCAGGCGGAAUGCGUGGUGUAGCGGUGAAAUGCAUAGAUAUCACGCAGAACCCCGAUUGCGAAGGCAGCCUGCCAAGCCAUUACUGACGCUGAUGCACGAAAGCGUGGGGAUCAAACAGGAUUAGAUACCCUGGUAGUCCACGCAGUAAACGAUGAUCACUAGCUGUUUGCGAUACACUGUAAGCGGCACAGCGAAAGCGUUAAGUGAUCCACCUGGGGAGUACGCCGGCAACGGUGAAACUCAAAGGAAUUGACGGGGGCCCGCACAAGCGGAGGAACAUGUGGUUUAAUUCGAUGAUACGCGAGGAACCUUACCCGGGUUUGAACGCAUUCGGACCGAGGUGGAAACACCUUUUCUAGCAAUAGCCGUUUGCGAGGUGCUGCAUGGUUGUCGUCAGCUCGUGCCGUGAGGUGUCGGCUUAAGUGCCAUAACGAGCGCAACCCUUGCCACUAGUUACUAACAGGUGAUGCUGAGGACUCUGGUGGGACUGCCAGCGUAAGCUGCGAGGAAGGCGGGGAUGACGUCAAAUCAGCACGGCCCUUACAUCCGGGGCGACACACGUGUUACAAUGGCGUGGACAAAGGGAGGCCACCUGGCGACAGGGAGCGAAUCCCCAAACCACGUCUCAGUUCGGAUCGGAGUCUGCAACCCGACUCCGUGAAGCUGGAUUCGCUAGUAAUCGCGCAUCAGCCAUGGCGCGGUGAAUACGUUCCCGGGCCUUGUACACACCGCCCGUCAAGCCAUGGGGGCCGGGGGUACCUGAAGUCCGUAACCGAAAGGAUCGCCCUAGGGUA
RNAcentral lists this ribosomal RNA (1429 nucleotides) under uncultured organism. Its description in RNAcentral is "16S ribosomal RNA". It matches the Rfam family "Bacterial small subunit ribosomal RNA". The record is from RNAcentral.